RNAcentral lists this long non-coding RNA (1260 nucleotides) under Mytilus galloprovincialis (Mediterranean mussel). Lineage: Eukaryota; Metazoa; Mollusca; Bivalvia; Mytilida; Mytilidae. The record is from RNAcentral.
GAGUGUUCCAAUUUCCAGGCUGGAAGUGUCAUCAGGUCAAAAGUUAAAAACAAAAAACUAGAUGUCACUGGAAUAUUUGGUAGUGUCUGCAAGCAUGACAUACCUAUUUAUUUUGCUGAUUUGGCCCAUGGAGAAAGGUAUUUUUCACUUGACCUCCAUGAAAUUUAAAAAAAAUAUUGGAGUACCCUUAGUGACUUUCUGUGACUAUGUUUCUUUUACUAAAGGUUGUAAGAUCAUUCAAACUUAUUCACUAUUGAAUAUGAGGCAGUUAUUUGCUUUCAAGAAAAUGUAGGUUGAGGUGAUCUACAUUUUGCUGCUGUGAAUUUUGUUGAAUUUUCCAUUCAAGUUCAUGUCAGGCAACAACAGGUUGCAAAAUUAUGUAAGCUUGCUCACACAAAGAAAUCACAUCUUUAUCAAGUCAAAAAAGUUCACUGCAUUUCUUUCAAUGAUUCAAUUCAAGUAGACAGCGGUUUUAACAAAUCAUUUAAGCUAUUUUAUACAUUUUUUAAAUUUUUAUCAUACAUGUCAUACUUGUACCUUGAUUCUUGAACUGUUUGUUUGUAAGAUCUAUCUGAUUAGUGUUAAAAAAAAAAAUAUGCAUUUAAAACUACAAUAAAUAAGAAACUAUGCAUUGUCAUGUUGAUCUUCCAUAUACUAUAUCAUAAAUGUGUUUUCAGGUUGAGUUAUCCAGUUUACAUUUUGAAAUGUGUAUUGGAGAAUAGACCUAAUGAUCAUCUGGUUGUCAUGUAUGAUAUUGCUUGCAUGUUACAUAAACAUUUACAGGUAACUAUAUUCUUAUUCAAUACCCUGAUUUAUCUUGAUGAACAUUUCAAUGAAAUACAAGAAUGUGCGAUUAUUGAACACCCACUAUGGAGACUUGGAAGUUUAUAAUACCUUAUCACCAUUUUUUAUGAGUAUAUGAUUCAUUCUGUUUGUGUCUGUCCAUAUGAAUGAUUUUUAAUGAAAGUUUGUCCAGUUGUAGUAAAACAACUGCAUAAAUGUAGAGAAAAAGUAUGAUUUAAAGCAAAUGUUUAUGCGUUUUUAACUUGAACCAUUCUGAUGAGUUUGAUUGAACUAAAACCAAGUGUUUUGAUUGACCUAAAUUUUAUAUACAUCGUAAUGAAAAGAUUAUCUAUUUAACACUUUGUAUUAUUAACAAAAAUUUUCUAUUUUCAGAAAACCAAUAACAAUGAUCUAUUAGAAAAGUGUUCUUUUGCUGUGCCAGUCUUUCAUAGUUUUGUGCACAAUACAGUAUGUCAG